This 382-nucleotide ribosomal RNA is filed under the name uncultured bacterium. Its description in RNAcentral is "bacterial SSU rRNA". It matches the Rfam family "Bacterial small subunit ribosomal RNA", at positions 30 to 412 of the family's 1533-position model. The record is from RNAcentral.
AUUGAACGCUGGCGGAAUGCUUUACACAUGCAAGUCGAGCGGCAGCGCGGUCUUCGGACUGGCGGCGAGCGGCGAACGGGUGAGUAAUACAUCGGAACAUGCCCAGUCGUGGGGGAUAACACUUCGAAAGAAGUGCUAAUACCGCAUACGUCCUGAGGGAGAAAGCGGGGGAUCGCAAGACCUCGCGCGAUUGGAGUGGCCGAUGUCAGAUUAGCUAGUUGGUGGGGUAAAGGCCUACCAAGGCAACGAUCUGUAGCUGGUCUGAGAGGAUGAUCAGCCACACUGGGACUGAGACACAGCCCAGACUCCUACGGGAGGCAGCAGUGGGGAAUUUUGGACAAUGGGGGCAACCCUGAUCCAGCCAUUCCGCGUGAGUGAAGAA